This 429-nucleotide ribosomal RNA is filed under the name Gemmatimonadota bacterium. RNAcentral describes it as "Gemmatimonadetes bacterium partial 16S ribosomal RNA". It matches the Rfam family "Bacterial small subunit ribosomal RNA", at positions 355 to 776 of the family's 1533-position model. The record is from RNAcentral. Lineage: Bacteria; Pseudomonadati; Gemmatimonadota.
UAGGGAAUCUUCGGCAAUGGACGAAAGUCUGACCGAGCAACGCCGCGUGAGUGAAGAAGGUUUUCGGAUCGUAAAACUCUGUUGUUAGAGAAGAACAAGGACGUUAGUAACUGAACGUCCCCUGACGGUAUCUAACCAGAAAGCCACGGCUAACUACGUGCCAGCAGCCGCGGUAAUACGUAGGUGGCAAGCGUUGUCCGGAUUUAUUGGGCGUAAAGCGAGCGCAGGCGGUUUCUUAAGUCUGAUGUGAAAGCCCCCGGCUCAACCGGGGAGGGUCAUUGGAAACUGGGGGACUUGAGUGCAGAAGAGGAGAGUGGAAUUCCAUGUGUAGCGGUGAAAUGCGUAGAUAUAUGGAGGAACACCAGUGGCGAAGGCGGCUCUCUGGUCUGUACCUGACGCUGAGGCUCGAAAGCGUGGGGAGCAAACAGG